Molecule: ribosomal RNA, 404 nt
Filed under: Actinomycetes bacterium
Lineage: Bacteria; Bacillati; Actinomycetota; Actinomycetes
Description: Actinobacteria bacterium partial 16S ribosomal RNA
Rfam family: Bacterial small subunit ribosomal RNA
Source: RNAcentral
UGGGGAAUAUUGGACAAUGGGCGCAAGCCUGAUCCAGCCAUGCCGCGUGAGUGAUGAAGGCCCUAGGGUUGUAAAGCUCUUUCACCGGUGAAGAUAAUGACGGUAACCGGAGAAGAAGCCCCGGCUAACUUCGUGCCAGCAGCCGCGGUAAUACGAAGGGGGCUAGCGUUGUUCGGAUUUACUGGGCGUAAAGCGCACGUAGGCGGACUAUUAAGUCAGGGGUGAAAUCCCGGGGCUCAACCCCGGAACUGGCUUUGAUACUGGUAGUCUUGAGUUGGAGAGAGGUGGGUGGAAUUCCGAGUGUAGAGGUGAAAUUCGUAGAUAUUCUGAGGAAAACCAGAGGCGAAGGCGGCUCACUGGCUCGAUACUGACGCUGAGGUGCGAAAGCGUGGGGAGCAAACGGG